RNAcentral lists this ribosomal RNA (616 nucleotides) under Enterococcus casseliflavus. RNAcentral describes it as "bacterial SSU rRNA". It matches the Rfam family "Bacterial small subunit ribosomal RNA", at positions 67 to 664 of the family's 1533-position model. Lineage: Bacteria; Bacillati; Bacillota; Bacilli; Lactobacillales; Enterococcaceae. The record is from RNAcentral.
CUUUCCCGGAGCUUGCUCCACCGAAAGAAAAAGAGUGGCGAACGGGUGAGUAACACGUGGGUAACCUGCCCAUCAGAAGGGGAUAACACUUGGAAACAGGUGCUAAUACCGUAUAACACUAUUUUCCGCAUGGAAGAAAGUUGAAAGGCGCUUUUGCGUCACUGAUGGAUGGACCCGCGGUGCAUUAGCUAGUUGGUGAGGUAACGGCUCACCAAGGCAACGAUGCAUAGCCGACCUGAGAGGGUGAUCGGCCACACUGGGACUGAGACACGGCCCAGACUCCUACGGGAGGCAGCAGUAGGGAAUCUUCGGCAAUGGACGAAAGUCUGACCGAGCAACGCCGCGUGAGUGAAGAAGGUUUUCGGAUCGUAAAACUCUGUUGUUAGAGAAGAACAAGGAUGAGAGUAAAAUGUUCAUCCCUUGACGGUAUCUAACCAGAAAGCCACGGCUAACUACGUGCCAGCAGCCGCGGUAAUACGUAGGUGGCAAGCGUUGUCCGGAUUUAUUGGGCGUAAAGCGAGCGCAGGCGGUUUCUUAAGUCUGAUGUGAAAGCCCCCGGCUCAACCGGGGAGGGUCAUUGGAAACUGGGAGACUUGAGUGCAGAAGAGGAGAGUGG